This 495-nucleotide ribosomal RNA is filed under the name uncultured bacterium. RNAcentral's name for it is "partial 16S ribosomal RNA". It matches the Rfam family "Bacterial small subunit ribosomal RNA", at positions 28 to 507 of the family's 1533-position model. The record is from RNAcentral.
GACGAACGCUGGCGGCGUGCCUAAUACAUGCAAGUAGAACGCUGAAGGAGGAGCUUGCUUCUCUGGAUGAGUUGCGAACGGGUGAGUAACGCGUAUGUAACCUGCCUGGUAGCGGGGGAUAACUAUUGGAAACGAUAGCUAAUACCGCAUAAGAGUAGAUGUUGCAUGACAUUUGCUUAAAAUGUGCAAUUGCAUCACUACCAGAUGGACCUGCGUUGUAUUAGCUAGUUGGUGAGGUAACGGCUCACCAAGGCGACGAUACAUAGCCGACCUGAGAGGGUGAUCGGCCACACCGGGACUGAGACACGGCCCAGACUCCUAAGGGAGGCAGCAGUAGGGAAUUUUCGGACAUGGACGGAAGGCUGACCGAGCAACGCCGCGUGAGUGAAGAAGGUUUUCGGAUCGUAAAGCUCUGUUGUAAGAGAAGAAAGAGUGUGAGAGUGGAAAGUUCACACUGUGACGGUACCUUACCAGAAAGGGACGGCUAACUACGUG